UCUACAUUGGUAUUCACCAUCACAGGUUAC
RNAcentral lists this non-coding RNA (30 nucleotides) under Rattus norvegicus (Norway rat). Lineage: Eukaryota; Metazoa; Chordata; Mammalia; Rodentia; Muridae. The record is from RNAcentral.